GCCGGAGUGGUGGAAUGGCAGACACAAGGGACUUAAAAUCCCUCGGCCCAAAAGGCUGUACCGGUUCAAGUCCGGUCUCCGGCACCA
RNAcentral lists this transfer RNA (87 nucleotides) under Candidatus Auribacterota bacterium. Its description in RNAcentral is "tRNA-Leu". It matches the Rfam family "tRNA". From Rfam's summary of the family: Transfer RNA (tRNA) molecules are approximately 80 nucleotides in length. Their secondary structure includes four short double-helical elements and three loops (D, anti-codon, and T loops). RNAcentral also lists the same sequence under 1 other name. Lineage: Bacteria; Pseudomonadati; Candidatus Auribacterota. The record is from RNAcentral.